Long non-coding RNA from Girardinichthys multiradiatus, 5619 nucleotides. RefSeq lists it as uncharacterized. The transcript has 3 exons. The record is from RefSeq and is a predicted model, not a curated record. Lineage: Eukaryota; Metazoa; Chordata; Actinopteri; Cyprinodontiformes; Goodeidae.
GAUGCGAUAUGGCCAGUAAGUCUGCAUAGUCCUCCCGAAGGCUACAUGUUGGACUUUUCCCCCCCCGCUCUUCUUUUACAAAUGUAUAUUGUUUGUGCAAUGCAGUCAUAAUAUUUACGCAGGGACGCGGGAGGAGUGAGGUGGAGACUCAGCCGAGAUGGGAGCGCACAAACUCGGACGGGGGACUUGAGACCGACUCCUGCAGGAGGAGAACCACGGAAUGAUCCGGGAUCCGAGUAAAGGAAGAGACACAGGCUCAUCUCUGCUGCAUUCUUUCCAUUUAAGUGAAGAGCAGUAUGAUACAGAAGGCUCGAGUGGGCAGACAUGCGGGUUUGGCCACAGGAAGCUGUGAAUUCUUCAGAGAAUGGUAGAUGUCUCAUGGGGAGAAGUGCUGCACCCCCACCCACCCCUCUAGAGCCACCCACACGCCACCCCAAAAUGACCCCUGACCCUUUCACGUGUUUAUAUCAGGCCAUGGAAGUGAGAAAUAGUGAUGAGUCACUCUGGCCGUGUGUUUACACUCUGGAGUCACGCAAGGAAGGAAAUCAGCCACGGUCUGCUAAAAGUGGAGAGGUGAGAGAGAGGAGCUGCUGUGAUUUACCCCUCAGAGCUGUUAUUUAUUUCACAUCACCUCUGCUGAGCAAAUGAUCCACCAGCAGAAAGCAGCAGAAUAAGCUGAGGACUGUAGUCAAGGAAAACAACUGCAAGCGGCAAAGCAUGUAAUCGCUGCAGGGGUAGGUGUGUCUGCUUCCCCGCUUCAAAUAUACUCAUUUCAGAUUAACUUGGAUGUGAUCUGCAUAUUAGUUACUGCAUUUUAUUAGAUAGAUGUUUAUGAUAACAUAUUUAUUUCUGAAUCUGGUACCAGUUAAAAUGUCCAUAUAAACAUUUACUAUCUCUUUUUGUUUUUUGGCAAAACUGAUUAAAACCUUUAAAUUCUUCAUAUUUAGUUAAUUUAUAACCACAAGCUUCAGUGUAAUUUAUCAGGAGGUUUUGUGACAGGCCAAAAAAGGAGCACAAUCGUUUUAAUGUGAAAGGAAAAUAAUACAUUGUUUUAAAAUGUUUAAAAAAAAUAAAAAUCAUAAAAGAGUUGAGUGCAUUCGUAUUCAGCCCCUAUGACGUAAUACUUUGUAUAACUGCUGCAAUUGUUUUGCUGCAAUUACAACUGCAAAACCUUGAAAUCUUUGCCCAUUAUUUUUGCAAAAUAGCUCAAGCAUAGUCAGAUUGCAUGGAGAGCCUUUGUGACCAUCAAUUUUUAAAGCUAUGCCACAAAUUCUCUGUUGUAUUCAAGUCUGGACUUUGACUUGGCCAAGCUAACAGAUAAUGAAUAUGCUUUAAUCUAAACCCUUAUAUUGUAGCUCUGGCUGUUUGUUUGGGGUCAUGAUUGUCCUGCUGGAAAGCAAACCUCCAUCCCAGUGAAGUCUUUGGCGGCUUCUAAUAGGUUUUCUUACAGUGUUGUUCUGUGUUCAGCUCCAUCUGUUUUCCCAUCAACGCUGCAAAAUUUCCAUUGUGAAGAAAAGCAAAGUACCAAGGAAAACAUCAUACUUUUGCCACUGUGUUUCACAGUGACAAAUAUGUGUUCAGGAUGAUGUGCAGUGUUAGCUUCCCUCCACAAAUAAUUUGGAUGUUGGCCCAAAAACUUUACUGUUUUUAUUAGCCUAACCUGACCAGAGCUCAUUGUUCAGAUGUGGACCCUAUUCAGCUUAUGGAAAACUGCAAAAUGGAGCCCUAGUGGGUUUUUUUUCAGCAAUAGCUUCCUUCUUGCUACUCUAUGGUACUGUAAAGGCCAGAUCUGUGGAGUGCACGACGAAUAGUUGUCCUGUCAACAGAUUCCCAUACUUGAGCUGUGGAUCUCUGCAGCACCUCCAAAGUUACCAUAGAACUCUUGGCUGCUGCUCUGAUUAAUUUUCUUGCCAUCCAUAUUAGUUCAGGUGGCUGACCAUGUCCUGAUAGGUUUGUAGCAAUUCUUAUUACAAUCUAAAAAUAUGGACUGAACAGUGCUCUUGAGAUAUUGAAAACUUGGGAUAUUUUUUAUAUCCAAACUCUGGUUCAAAUGUCUCCAUCUUUGGAUUUUAUGAUGCUGUGUGUGCUCUAGUGUCCUCUAACAGACGUCCGAGGCCUUCACAAAACAGUUGUAUUUAUACUGAAAAUAAAUUGCACACAUGCGGACUUUAACAUUGGAUUAAAUAGAUACACUGGAUUUUAUUUAGGGGUAUCGGACUAAUGGGGGGCACACACACUGCCUGCCACAAUUUUAAGAUUUUUAAUUUGUAAAAAGAUUUGAAAGCAUGCAUCAUCUUAGCUCCAAUUUGCAACUAUGUGCCACUUUGUGUUGUUAAAAAAAUGAUAAAAUCCUAAUAAAAUACAUUGCUUGUGCAGUUUGUCAAAUUGUGAAAGGGUUCAAUGGGUCCAGAUACUUUUGCAAGGCACUGUACAUCCAUCCAUGUGUUUUAUGUACCAACUUAACCCUUUCAGUGCUGUUCUCCAGUGGCCGAUUGAAGCUUCAUGUUGUGUACGGUUUUGCAUGAUCUUUUCAUCCACGUUGAGUUUGCUUAGUUAAAUUCCCAAACAGUGGAAAAACUGCAGUCACAAACAUCUACAUUCCACAUGUAGGAGUGAUUUGGGCCUGUUAAAUUGCUUGCACAAUUAAUACAGAUUUUUUUAUGAUUGACUCUUGCCUUCCAUAAAUAUACAGUAGUUUGUGUAUUUCUCUCUUAUAAUUGGGAUUUUAAUGAUAUUGAAAAUACAUUAGAACUUUAAAAAUAAAAAGCCAAUAAACAGCGCUGAGCCGUGCCUUCUUGAAAAUCUAUAUUUUCUCAAUUUUGGGUCUGCAUGUCAGUAAGACUUCUGAUGACAUCCAUAAUUACUGUCAUCAUUUCUCUAAAUAAAACUGAAGUUUUAGGUUUUGAUCGAUGAAGUGUGAAAAUAUUUGUCACAAACCAAGUUAACAGUUUUGACUUUACAUGUUCAGCAUCCUUAGCUGGCCUAUUAAACACCAGGACAUCAGUUUACUUUCAGUUGUCUGUAUGCUUUCAUUAAAUAUAUUAUAGAAUAAUAUAAUGUGAAUGUUAUUAUGUAUGUAUAAUUUCUCUGUUAACCAAAGUUGACUCUUAUAAUGCUGUUCCUUUAAAGGGCUGCACACCCCCUGUCCUGUGAGGGGUGUUUUCUGUGGCUUCCUCUGCUUUUUUCAAACAUUAAGCGUUAUUGUUGUCCUGAAGGCUGACUGACAUUAAAGUACAAAAUGCACAGCCGUUGUUUUCCAGACACGGCUGCAGUUAGUGCUGCUGUAUCCUUUAAAAUCAAAGUGAUGCUUUUUAUUCUCUCCAUCACCACUUUGGUGCGAGUAGCUUCACUGAAGACUGCAGCUGGUGUCCUUUUAAACACCAGUAUACACACAGCCACAAUGAGAGAGUGAAACCGCCUUUAUUUUGGCCAAUCUCUCCUGAAUUGUAAGUGCUGUCAGAAACCUUGAUUGAUUGUUGUGUUUAUCACCAUAUUAUUAAAAAAUCAGGCUCACCGCAGUCAGGUCUGAAGCUCCUUAAUUCCAACGUUGUGCUAAUUAAAGGUUUGCUGAACAGGUUUAGUUUUCUCAUUUUCUUUUCUUUAAAUAUAGAUGUGCAGAUUGUUGCAGUUUUGCACUGUCUGGAGCAUUUAGUACGGAGUGCAGCUAGGUACUACGAGAGGAAUGUUUAUGUAGAAACAGAAAAACACAGGAUGGUUAAUGAGUCCAUGUCUGUACAUCAGCAGAGAUCCACUCUUGCUUCGUUAAUAGAGCCAGCGGCAGGCUGCAUUUGUGUAUCCCUGAGGUAAACACAGUCAUGGCAAAGUGGACGCGCUGUUAAGUGUGUCCUGAACAAAGACAGAGAGCACCGUGGCACUGUACUUUCUGACACACUGGCAGCUUUAGACAUAGGGUUCAUGUGAUGAAUGGCCAUUUGGUAAUGGGCCAUGUAUUAGGCUAAAACAGCUCUUUUAAAAGCCACAGUUUGAACCUUCGCCGUGGGCAGUUUGAAUCAGUAAUCAGUCAGGUGGCAGAUGUUUAGUGUUGGACAGAGCAACUCAGUCCUGCUCUCUCUCCUUUCAACUCAACCGAUGAAUCGCUCAAAUAAAAACAUGACUUAAUGAAGUCAAAAGCAGUAUAGAUAGAACAUGAAAUAAACAGCUUAUUUGUGCAAAUGACAACCAAUUUCUAUAAGUGAAAAAUGUGUUCUGCUUGGAGAUUGUUUCCACUUCCUGCUGAAACCACUUCAGGGUAAAUCAGCAAUAAGUGCAGAAACUUCUCUUUAAGAAAAACUAGUGAACAAACUUGUGUCUUAUGUGGAUACACAUUGUUGAUUUUUCACCCAGGAAGUAAAACAGAUAAAAAAUCAUUUUAAGUCUAUACACAGCACCUUGCAAAGUUAUAUUACCUGCUAAACGUAACAUCCAUAAAUCUCAAUAUGUUUUCUUUUAAUCUUUUGUGACAGACCAACACAAAACAGGAAAAUAAUACAUGUUGUAAAAAGGUUUUUCACAAAUAAAAAAAAUGAAAUUGUGGCAUUUCUUUUUAGCCCCUUUUACCUUUUUGGUCCUUAAAUAAAAUCCAGUGCACAUCAAAAAAUACAUAAUUACGUGUUGUCUAUCUGUAUGUAACUGAAUCUCAGAAUGAAUCCUCCUGGUCUGUGAAAGCCUCAGAGGUUUCUAAAGAACAUUAGUGAACAAACGGCAUCACGAAGGCCAAAGAACACAGCAGUUAAACAGAGAAGCAGCCAAGACUCCCAUGUCCAGAAGUUAAUGAAACUAAAUGUUUCGGCCUACAUGCAAAGGGCUACGUGUGGAGGAAAAGUAACACCCAGAACACUUUAUACCCACCAUGAAAUAUGCUGGUGGCAGUAUCAUGCUGUGGGUACUCUUUUCUUCAGUAGGACUGGUAGGCUGGUUAGAUGAAUGGAGGUAAAUACAGGAGAAUCUUAGGAGAAAUCCUGUUGGAGGCUAAAAUAGACUUGAGACUGGUGUGGAAGUUUACCUUCUAAUCGGACAAUAAGUCUAAAGACACAGCAAGAGGACCAGUUUCAAUCAAAUUAUUUUCAUGUGUUAGAUUGGCCUAGAACAAACUUUCAUAGAGAAUUGUUGGCAAGACAUUUCAAUCAACAAUCACAGCUGCUCUCGAUCCAAUUUGGCUGAGCUUGAAAUAUUUUGCAAACGAGAAUAGAACAAAAUCUGUCUUCGGAGAACCAAAGCUACAGGAGAUAUACUCCAUGCUGUGAAACAGUGGUACCGUUAGCAAAAGCUGUUUCUAGAAAGUGUUAAGUGAGAGAAGCUGACAACCAGUUCACACCAGUGUUUUCAGAGUUUUAGUUGUAAAUAAAAACAUGUAUAAUUUUUCUUCCAAAUUACAAUUAUGCACUACAAAGGUAAGGCAAUGUAUAUGUGUUGCUAAAAGUAUUUAUUUGAUGUCUUAAGGGUGUUUUGUUCUGUUAUCAUUCUUAUUUAACACAUUUUUGUAAUGAAAUUUCUUAACUUCUGUUUUUACAUUGCAGACCUUGUCUUUAAUGAUACUUUUCUUUUAAUGCAGUAAUGACAUGGCUAAAAUGAUUAAAUGUUUUGAAUGCAUUUAUAAUAAACUAUGACUAAUAAAACUUA